CAGCGCCACAAGUGGCAAUCACGUUUAUUGGGCCUAAAGCGUCCGUAGCCGGUUUAGCAAAUCUUUUGUGAAAUCGUCAGGCUUAACUUGACGAAUUGCAGAAGACACUUCUAAACUAGGGACUGGGAGGAGUCAGAAGUAUUCUGGGGGGACCGGUAAAAUGGUAUAAUCCCCAGAGGACUACCGAUGGCGAAGGCAUCUGACCAGAACAGGUCCGACGGUGAGGGACGAAAGCCAGGGGAGCAAACCGGAUUAGAUACCCGAGUAGUCC
This 271-nucleotide ribosomal RNA is filed under the name uncultured archaeon. RNAcentral's name for it is "partial 16S ribosomal RNA". It matches the Rfam family "Archaeal small subunit ribosomal RNA", at positions 477 to 747 of the family's 1478-position model. The record is from RNAcentral.